CCCGGCCGUGCCCCACGGCAAGGUGCAGCCGCUGGGCGGGCGGGAGCGGCGGCUGCGGCCGGACAGCGGGACGGUCAGCAGCUUCUUCCAAGUCAGAGCGGCCGUGCCUUCGGAGAGCCCAGCCUGCCACGGGCGCUCCGGGCAGGGCGAGGACAGGCAGCGCCGGGCUCGGAAGGACUCUGCAAAGGAGCUGAUCUGCCCCUGGGAGACCCCCACGGAGGAGGGGAGAGCGGGGUAAGCCCAGCACGCACGCUCCUGCCAGGCCUGAGAUGCAGCGUCCGCCAUGCAUGGCUCAGCACAUGCUGGAAAAGUGUGUUAGAGCCAUCCUCCAGCACCAGGGACACCCAGACCACCACAGCUCCAGAUAACAGCCCCUGCUGUGCCCAGCUGUUUGUCAUCCAAGAGCUCCAAGCCUUUCUGGACUGGUUUUCUUUCCUGUCUUUGGUGUGUUCAGUCCUGCUCGUGACAGACUUGUCGAUAAACGAGCCUGGUUUCAUGCCUUGGAGCAGAUGGAGGACGUGUGGGUGAUGUCCUGGGAAGCGGUGUCUUAUCGGAGUUUCUGGCUUGGCCAUGAGGUGUCAGCACACUGAACACAGCCCAGCUGGAGCAGGGCUGGCAGAGCAGGACUCAGGCUUCGGUGCCAAAACUGGGCCAUGUUUGUGUUCCCAGCCCAGGCCCAUCUCCUAAUAAUUACAAUUUCUUAAUUUGAAAGCAUGCUGAUGAAGAGACUGGGGAAAAUGGAGUGCCCCUCAUGAGAUGCUGCGUGCUGAGUGGCAAAGCAUCAUUCCUUCAUCCAAACCAAACAUGAUCCCAGAGGCAUCAAGGAGCGCAGAGCCCUCCUGCAUUAGCUCCAGCUUCCCAGUGCAUGGGUUUGAAACCAUGGCCUGACCUGGAAACACCUGGGAGAUCCAAGCCAAGUCCCUGUUGGUGUUUUGGGCCUCUCCAAGCUGGGAUUUAUGUGUUGCCACAGGCUGUGCUGAUAUUGACUUGGACUGUUGCCUUCCUUGUGUCAGUGUUUGAAGGUGGUUGUUUUAUUCCCUGGACAAGUUUACUCGGUGUGUGUGUGUGUGCUGUGGGUCCCUGUUCUGUACCUUGGCCAUGACCUGUGACUUCUGAUAUUGCUGUUUUGUACUUUCUGAUUAUAAAUGGGGUUUUUCCUGUGUGGCUGAUGUGGUUCCACAUGCUCAGUCCUGCUGUGGGAUUUAAAUCUGUCCUCACACACGCUCAGUGCUCCCUGUUUUCCCCAGGUCUGGUCUGACACUUCCAUCACAGGGUAAUUUGGGAAAAUCAGAAGGCUGCUUCUGUCUCCAAAGAGUCUUUCCCAGGCUGCUGGCCCUCACUGCCUGUGGUACUCCUCUUGUACAAAUACACAUUGGCUCUCAAUGGCUUGCUCUGUCAGAGGGACUUGGUCCUGCUCUGCUGCCACUGACAGGGACAUCUAUUAUUGAUGAGAAACAAAUCUGGUGUCUUCUGCAAUUUUUGUGUGAGUAUUGUU
This 1495-nucleotide long non-coding RNA is filed under the name Chloebia gouldiae (Gouldian finch). RNAcentral's name for it is "Erythrura gouldiae (Gouldian finch) lncRNA (ENSEGOG00005007270.1)". Lineage: Eukaryota; Metazoa; Chordata; Aves; Passeriformes; Passeridae. The record is from RNAcentral.